GUGGAAACGAAGUGGUUUCUUGGAAAUAGAAAGUACGACUCAUGUUACAGACAAGGAAGUGUGCGUGAAUGUUGAAUCACACCUUCGCCAUCAGCCAUCGUGGUCUACAUCCCCCUCUUGAGGAAGGGCCUCCCCCAGACAGUCCCACAAGCCCCAGCCCUGGCGUCACGUCACGCCUGCCCCCUACCCCUGCUCCAAGCAUGUCAAUCAUUCUUGACUAUGGGGGUUCCUCUCCAUUUUCAUCUCUCAAGCUCCACUCCCUCCUCAGUGCUGAGCCAGGCUCUCGGCUUUGCUUGAAGCCCCAUCAGCCCACCCUGGGUUCUCCCUACAGACCUCACCCAUCUCCUUUCAUCUGUCUGUAAUCCAUCCUUCUGCCAUCAGCAAGUGACCUUUCCAAAACCCAGACCCAGUUAAAGUCCACAGCCAACCAUUCCCCACCUCUCCUGCCACCCACAUGUGCUUCUUGGCUCUGCCGUGAGACAUCCUUGCAGUGCCGUAAGCAGUCACCUUCCUACCUGCCUCUGUGCCUGUUACCCAGACAAUCCCCCGGCAGAAGCAAGCUUCCCUUUCAGCUCUGCCCAAAUAACCACAUCAGUCCCUCAAGGUCCUAGUGAGACCCGGGCCCCUCAGUGGGGUCUGUGCCAGGUACCUGUGCACACCCCAGCCACAGCCCCAACACACUGGUGUCAGGCAGCCCUGGCUCAUCUCUCUUUCUCCUAAGCAAACAGCUCCUUGAGGACAGGAUCAUGACAUAUGUACAUUUAUGUCCCCACUACAGAAACUUAGUACUUGACAUAUAGCAAAGGCUCAGUAAGUAAAUACAUGGAGGAAGGUAGCCAGCCUUCAAGGUGGCCCCAACAACCCAUGCCUCCCAGGAUUUAAGCACUGCGUAAUCCUCUCCCACUUUGAAUUAGGACUGGGCCCAUGUGACUGGUAGAAUGUGAUACAAUGGGACUUCCAAAGCUGAGUCACAGAAGACUCGAGAGUUCCGCCCAGAUCAUGUGGGUGGCUUGCUUUGGAGGGAGCAGCCACCAUGCCAGGAGGAUGCUCAAGCAGCCCCAAGGAGAAGGCCAUGCAGAGAGGACGGAAGCAGCCAGUGACAACUUGCCAGACACAGGUUGCGCCCCUUUGGAAAUGGAUUCUCCAGCCCCUAUUGGGCCUUUGGAUGAUGUAGCCUCAGCUGAUAUCUGACUGGAACUGUAUGAAAGGCUUCACAUGACAACGGUCCGGUCAGGUCCUUCUGAAAUGCCUGACCCACAGAGACACUGUGAGAUGAAAGAGUCCAAGACACACUUAUCCAUCACAGCGAUCAUGCCUGUAAGAAAACUCUUCUUACUGCACUCCUACCUGGAACUGAAAGAUGAUGUGUUCGGCUUCAAUAGAUCCUGCUCGUCACAUCAGGGACAGUAGUCAAUACUUUUGUAUUUGGACACUGGGAAUCAAGGCAGAAGAUCUAACAGAAGAUACAAAAUAAUUAUAAUACAU
This 1485-nucleotide long non-coding RNA is filed under the name Homo sapiens (human). RNAcentral's name for it is "HSALNT0131385". Lineage: Eukaryota; Metazoa; Chordata; Mammalia; Primates; Hominidae. The record is from RNAcentral.